UACCGAGUUUACAACUCCCAAACCCCUGUGAACAUACCUUAAUGUUGCCUCGGCGGAUCAGCCCGCGCCCCGUAAAACGGGACGGCCCGCCAGAGGACCCAAACUCUAAUGUUUCUUAUUGUAACUUCUGAGUAAAACAAACAAAUAAAUCAAAACUUUCAACAACGGAUCUCUUGGUUCUGGCAUCGAUGAAGAACGCAGCAAAAUGCGAUAAGUAAUGUGAAUUGCAGAAUUCAGUGAAUCAUCGAAUCUUUGAACGCACAUUGCGCCCGCUGGUAUUCCGGCGGGCAUGCCUGUUCGAGCGUCAUUUCAACCCUCAAGCCCCCGGGUUUGGUGUUGGGGAUCGGCUCUGCCUUCUGGCGGUGCCGCCCCCGAAAUACAUUGGCGGUCUCGCUGCAGCCUCCAUUGCGUAGUAGCUAACACCUCGCAACUGGAACGCGGCGCGGCCAUGCCGUAAAACCCCAACUUCUGAAUGUUGACCUCGGAUCAGG
RNAcentral lists this ribosomal RNA (491 nucleotides) under Fusarium avenaceum. RNAcentral's name for it is "eukaryotic LSU rRNA". The stretch from base 154 to 307 matches the Rfam family "5.8S ribosomal RNA". Lineage: Eukaryota; Fungi; Ascomycota; Sordariomycetes; Hypocreales; Nectriaceae. The record is from RNAcentral.